UAUUAUAUAUUUCAUCUAAUUCUACUGUUAAAAACUAGCGUGACUAAUAUAAUAACCAAACAGUUACACGUAGCAUACCAUGUACCUCAUUCUAACAUACAGAGACCAAUUUUUAUAGUAGCAAUGGAUGAAAUUUUUAACA
This 142-nucleotide microRNA precursor is filed under the name Gossypium hirsutum (cotton). RNAcentral describes it as "MIR7502 microRNA precursor family". It matches the Rfam family "MIR7502 microRNA precursor family". Lineage: Eukaryota; Viridiplantae; Streptophyta; Magnoliopsida; Malvales; Malvaceae. RNAcentral also lists the same sequence under 1 other name. The record is from Rfam by way of RNAcentral.